AUUGAACGCUGGCGGCAUGCCUUACACAUGCAAGUCGGACGGUAACAGGUCUUCGGAUGCUGACGAGUGGCGAACGGGUGAGUAAUACAUCGUAACGUGCCUAGUAGUGGGGGAUAACUACUCGAAAGAGUGGCUAAUACCGCAUGAGAUCUACGGAUGAAAGCAGGGGAUCGCAAGACCUUGCGCUACUAGAGCGGCCGAUGGCAGAUUAGGUAGUUGGUGGGAUAAAAGCUUACCAAGCCGACGAUCUGUAGCUGGUCUGAGAGGACGAUCAGCCACACUGGGACUGAGACACGGCCCAGACUCCUACGGGAGGCAGCAGUGGGGAAUUUUGGACAAUGGGCGCAAGCCUGAUCCAGCAAUGCCGCGUGCAGGAUGAAGGCCUUCGGGUUGUAAACUGCUUUUGUACGGAACGAAAAGCCCCGGGUUAAUACCCUGGGGUCAUGACGGUACCGUAAGAAUAAGCACCGGCUAAUUACGUGCCAGCAGCCGCCGUAA
This 498-nucleotide ribosomal RNA is filed under the name uncultured bacterium. Its description in RNAcentral is "partial 16S ribosomal RNA". It matches the Rfam family "Bacterial small subunit ribosomal RNA", at positions 30 to 523 of the family's 1533-position model. The record is from RNAcentral.